This is a long non-coding RNA of Megalobrama amblycephala (Wuchang bream), 1731 nucleotides long. RefSeq lists it as uncharacterized. The transcript is spliced from 2 exons. NCBI's taxonomy places the organism in Eukaryota, Metazoa, Chordata, Actinopteri, Cypriniformes, Xenocyprididae. The record is from RefSeq and is a predicted model, not a curated record.
UGUCUAAUAAAGUCAUAAUAUAUACAUUGUUUUUGAAUUACCGUAAAGCAUUUUGUCACUUUCGCAUGAACGUGAACAUGAGGCGAGAUUGUGUCGGGUCGAUGCAGCUCAACGUGCCAGAUGGGGUAAGUGCUUGCCUCAAACACACCACUUCAAGUCAAUUAACCAUCGUAAGGACUUUUAUGAAGGUAAAAAAAGUUACUUAGUUCUGCUUUAAAGUCUCAUUUGUUAACAUUAGUUUAUGUAAAGGUAACAUAAACAAUGAGCAAAACAUUUGAUACAUUUUUAUUAUUCAUCUUUACAAAUGUCAGUUAAUAAUAACAUGGCUGUUCAUUGUUUUUUUCUUUUUAACACAUUUUUUUAGAUUUCUGCAACACACCAAACAUGGAUGACAAGAGUGAAGGAUAAGGUUAUGGCUCAUCAAUUUUAAGUUUACCUGUGCCUGCAGUGCAACCCUCUCUGGUCCCGGAUGUCCUCUGGAUUUGUUGAUCUUUCCUGGACUCAUUCUGGUUACCAAUCUUUUCUCUGGCUCUGGGAGGAGGGCGAAGGGCAAAGGAAAAAAAUAAACAAAAAAAAAGUCCAUAGAAAACAAAAGUAGUCCAAGGGGGAGUGGAGGGUGGGAGGAGCCAAGGGGAAGCCUGGAGCAGGAGGAGCCAGAUGUUGGUCCAGAGACCAACCAUGAUGAGGCCCCAGGGUGGAGUCGAGGAUGAGGAGCACCAUCGUGGGGAGAUGAGAGGCGCCACCCUGGGGACGGCCGAUGGAGAAGCCACCGAUGAUGGUGAUCCAGGUGGAGUUGGAAUGCCGGAGAGCCCAACCGACGCUGCUGGAUCUGGAGACCGAGCUGGAGCCGGGACGACGAACAUCCGAGGUGGAAUCCAGGAACCUGAAGACUGAGAUGGAGGCGGUGCGACCGAGGACGAAGGAGGAGACGGGGGAAGGAGGAGCCAGGCGAAACCGUAGGUUCAGGCUGGACGACGUCUGACCAAGUCGGAGCCUGUGGGACGAGGGAGCCCGGUGGAGUCUUGAGGCUGAGGGUAUCCAGUGGAGCCAAGGGAGGGAGGAGCCACGGCGAAGGCGAAGCGUCGACAGGCCGCGGUGGAGUGUUGGACUCGAGGGCUGGAGGCGGAGCCAGGAGAACCUCAGUCCACGGUGACACUGGUGGCCUGAAGCGUCGAGUCGGAUCCAUGCGUUUACGUGAUGGAGUUGAUGAGGGGCUGAAGGAUACCAGGGGAGGCAGAGAUGAGAUGGUUUGAGGAGGCGGGAGAGGGAGGUUGGGAGGGAACACAGGGCUGGACAGAACCAGCAGGGGCACGGAGAGUUCUGAGCUGGACGGGACCAGCGGGGGCACGAACAGUUCUGAGCUGGACGGGACCAGCGGGGGCACAAACAGUUCUGAGCUGGACGGGACCAGCGGGGGCACGAACAGUUCUGAGCUGGACGGAACCAGCGGGGAAACAAGACAAGGGGAAUUUACCUCCUCAAACACAUCCAAUAAAUCCAGAAAAGUCUCCGUGGUAAUAUCCAUCCCAUCCACCGUGGUAAGGCUGUGGGCGGGGCUUUCCUCCCAGCCCUCGAACUCCACUAACACUCCCUCGACAGCACACAAUGUAGCGGACUCAAGCACCUGGUCAGACACACCUAGCGGUUCACACCCCGGGCGACGACUCCUUCCGUCCUCUCUUCAGGUUCGGUCUCGUUCGUCCCAGCAGGUUGAUCUCCGCGGUCUGCGGU